GCAUAUCAAUAAGCGGAGGAAAAGAAAAUAACAAUGAUUCCCUUAGUAACGGCGAGUGAAGGGGGAAAAGCUCAAAUUUUAAAUCUGCUAGGUUUUACUUAUCAGAAUUGUAAUUUGAAGAAGCGUUUUCCGCGUCUUGGUUGGCCCAAAUCCUUUGGGAUAAGGUAUCAUGGAGGGUGAGAAUCCCGUUCGGUUGACCUUAUGACGCUCUACGAUACGCUCUCUAAGAGUCGAGUUGUUUGGGAUUGCAGCUCAAAAUGGGAGGUAAAUUUCUCCUAAGGCUAAAUAUUGGCGAGAGACCGAUAGCGAACAAGUACCGUGAGGGAAAGAUGAAAAGAACUUUGAAAAGAGAGUUAAACAGUACGUGAAAUUGUUGAAAGGGAAACGAUUGAAGCCAGUCGUACCGGCGGGUAAUCAGCCUUUCGGGUAUGAUUCUGUGGAGCGUGAGGAGUUAAACGCCUUCAUGCCUGCAUAUUCGUGCUCUUGGGUGUACUUGCUCGUGUGGUUGGUUAACAUCAAUUUCGGAUAUCAUAAAAUGGCUGGAGGAAUGUAGCUUCGAUUUCGAUUGAAGUGUUAUAGCCUUCGGCAGAUGUGAUGAUCGGGAUUGAGGAUUGCAACGGAUACCCUUCGGGGCUACCUGUCUGAUCUCUGAUCGUUGCUUUGGUGCCGAAAGCGUGCUUACGGUUAUCAAAGUCGAUGGUUAAUAGGUUAGAACGGGUUAAAUUCGUUAAGGAUGUUGACGUA
Molecule: ribosomal RNA, 744 nt
Filed under: uncultured fungus
Lineage: Eukaryota; Fungi
Description: eukaryotic LSU rRNA
Rfam family: Eukaryotic large subunit ribosomal RNA
Source: RNAcentral